UUGUUAGCCUGGGUGCCAUCCUCCCUGGUUAGCUUGCAAAAAGAUUGAGCCACGGUUACUAUGGAGAAUCGUAACCAGGCUA
Molecule: microRNA precursor, 82 nt
Filed under: Branchiostoma floridae (Florida lancelet)
Lineage: Eukaryota; Metazoa; Chordata; Leptocardii; Amphioxiformes; Branchiostomatidae
Description: microRNA bfl-mir-2073 precursor
Source: miRBase by way of RNAcentral